RNAcentral lists this ribosomal RNA (505 nucleotides) under uncultured bacterium. RNAcentral's name for it is "partial 16S ribosomal RNA". It matches the Rfam family "Bacterial small subunit ribosomal RNA", at positions 28 to 507 of the family's 1533-position model. The record is from RNAcentral.
GACGAACGCUGGCGGCGUGCCUAAUACAUGCAAGUAGAACGCACAGUUUAUACCGUAGCUUGCUACACCAUAGACUGUGAGUUGCGAACGGGUGAGUAACGCGUAGGUAACCUGCCUGGUAGCGGGGGAUAACUAUUGGAAACGAUAGCUAAUACCGCAUAAUAUUAAUUAUUGCAUGAUAAUUAAUUGAAAGGUGCAAUUGCACCACUACCAGAUGGACCUGCGUUGUAUUAGCUAGUAGGUGAGGUAACGGCUCACCUAGGCGACGAUACAUAGCCGACCUGAGAGGGGGAUCGGCCACAAUGGGACUGAGACACGGCCCAGACUCCUACGGGAGGCAGCAGUAGGGAAUCUUCGGCAAUGGACGAAAGUCUGACCGAGCAACGCCGCGUGAGUGAAGAAGGUUUUCGGAUCGUAAAGCUCUGUUGUAAGAGAAGAACGGGUGUGAGAGUGGAAAGUUCACACUGUGACGGUAUCUUACCAGAAAGGGACGGCUAACUACGUG